CUCCAAUUGUGGGGCCAUCGUUCGGCAUUGCUGUUAUUCGCAAUCCAGCAGUUGUCGCGAUCGGAAGCCCUAAAAUCGGAAUAACUCCUCAUCGAAAACCCGUUUCUUGCCGAAACAAUAGUGGAGUGCCUAGCUAUCGAAGAUAAUUAAAUUGGCGAUUGUGUGCGUGUGCUAAGGAUAACAAUGUUGCCCUUUCGUUGGGCUUUCGUCGGCAUCGCGCUGUUGAUUGCAGCUACAAAUGGAGCAGUUAUA
Rhagoletis pomonella (apple maggot) is the source of this 252-nucleotide long non-coding RNA. RefSeq lists it as uncharacterized. The transcript is spliced from 2 exons. The record is from RefSeq and is a predicted model, not a curated record. NCBI's taxonomy places the organism in Eukaryota, Metazoa, Arthropoda, Insecta, Diptera, Tephritidae.